AGAGUUUGAUCCUGGCUCAGGAUGAACGCUGGCGGCGUGCCUAAUACAUGCAAGUCGAGCAACCACUUCGGUGGUGAGCGGCGAACGGGUGAGUAACACGUAGGUUAUCUGCCCAUCAGAGGGGACAACGAUUGGAAACGAUCGCUAAUACCGGAUAGGACGAAAGUUUAAAGGUGCUUCGGCACCGCUGAUGGAUGAGCCUGCGGCGCAUUAGCUAGUUGGUAGGGUAAAGGCCUACCAGGCGACGAUGCGUAGCCGACCUGAGAGGGUGAACGGCCACACUGGGACUGAGACACGGCCAGACUCCUACGGGAGGCAGCAGUAGGGAAUCUUCGGCAAUGGGCGAAAGCCUGACCGAGCACGCCGCGUGAAUGAUGAAGGCCUUCGGGUUGUAAAAUUCUGUUAUAAGGGAAGAACGACUUAGUAGGAAAUGGCUAAAGUGUGACGGUACCUUAUGAGAAAGCCACGGCUAACUACGUGCAGCAGCCGCGGUAAUACGUAGGUGGCAAGCGUUAUCCGGAAUUAUUGGGCGUAAAGAGCCGCAGGUGGUUGAUUAAGUCUGAUGUGAAAGCCCACGGCUUAACCGUGGAGGGUCAUUGGAACUGGUCGACUUGAGUGC
RNAcentral lists this ribosomal RNA (619 nucleotides) under uncultured bacterium. Its description in RNAcentral is "bacterial SSU rRNA". It matches the Rfam family "Bacterial small subunit ribosomal RNA", at positions 8 to 649 of the family's 1533-position model. The record is from RNAcentral.